GCUACAUCCAAGACGCCAAGACCAGACCAACUGCCUGGAAAAAGCAGAAUCAGCCAAGCUGCCUAGAAGAGGUGUAGACCAACUGAGUCACCAGGAAAAGACAUUCACCAACCUGUUGAGCUGUGGGCAGAUGUAAUACCUGUCCCUGGACUUCUGUCUUUAGAACAUAAGCUGAAUCUCAGCAAGGUCCAAAGAAUGGAUCUGUCAAGGAUUGGAAGGACUGGGCUAAGGCCUUCAUCCAGCACCUGGUGGAAGUAGAAGCAGAUACCCACAACUAAUCACUCAACUGAACUGGAAUCCAGUUGCAGAGAAGGAGAAGUGAUGAGCAAAG
Molecule: long non-coding RNA, 331 nt
Filed under: Cricetulus griseus (Chinese hamster)
Lineage: Eukaryota; Metazoa; Chordata; Mammalia; Rodentia; Cricetidae
Description: lncRNA (ENSCGRG00015033984.1)
Source: RNAcentral